UGUUAUUUAGAUGAACCGUUUUUUUUUCUUUGUUUUAAAAUCGGUGAAUUAAUCAUGUAUUUAUUUCCAACUUGUUGUAGGUUUACAUGAGGAUCCCCUGUUCCCUGCAGGCAGCUUCCAGGAAGCACAUGGAGAAGAGAUGUGAACAAGGACCUGGAGUCUCUCCCCUGACCUGCAGUGUACUCGGUGCUGGUGCUCAACAGACAGCAGCCGGAGAUUUAUUGGAGAGAAGAUGAACUUCUAACAUGCAUGCCUGAUUCCAGACUUUCCUCUCACUCAUAAGACACCGUCUACAGUCUGGCUGUUGACACCACUCAUGUUCAUUACCAUCAUCUCCCACAGAAGGAGCCCAGCUUCCCAAAGCCUCAAACGGCCCUGGCUCAGGCACCAACACUCGAGUGCUCCUCCUGGAUCCCCACCACUGUGCCCCAUAUUGCCUGUUCUGUGGGACUAUGGUAUGUCUCUCUACCUUCCUCCUGUGACUGUGGCUCCUAGACCAUAGUUCUAGGUGUGGGGGUGUCCUGCUUCUCCUGGUGUCCCCACUGCUAACGCAGGGCCUUCCACAGAACAGAGGCUCCAUGAAAUUCUGUGGAAUAAAUGAACCAGUGAGAAGGGGGCUUAUUAAUCUCAUCAAUUUUCUCCUACUUUCUUAAAUAAUAACCUGGCAAAAUCCAAGUAAACAGAUGUGGUGGAUUAGCUGUAGAGAAGGACAGUUAGAACCUAUAAGAAGCGAGAAUUCACUACAAUCCUUUUUUAUUUUCCAAUUCUUCCAUCAACUAUAUACUGCUAAGUAAGUUCACAUAUCCAAAAUAUUUGUAAUUCCAGUUCCAUGUGAUCUUGCUCAGGGUCACAAAAUAAAAUGCAAGAGUUUCCAAACUCUUUUACAAAACA
This is a non-coding RNA of Odocoileus virginianus texanus, 891 nucleotides long. The record is from RefSeq and is a predicted model, not a curated record. Lineage: Eukaryota; Metazoa; Chordata; Mammalia; Artiodactyla; Cervidae.